This 579-nucleotide ribosomal RNA is filed under the name [Wickerhamomyces] edaphicus (nom. inval.). Its description in RNAcentral is "Wickerhamomyces edaphicus partial large subunit ribosomal RNA". It matches the Rfam family "Eukaryotic large subunit ribosomal RNA", at positions 62 to 654 of the family's 3401-position model. The record is from RNAcentral. Lineage: Eukaryota; Fungi; Ascomycota; Saccharomycetes; Phaffomycetales; Wickerhamomycetaceae.
AAACCAACAGGGAUUGCCUCAGUAACGGCGAGUGAAGCGGCAAAAGCUCAAAUUUGAAAUCUAGCACCUUCGGUGUUCGAGUUGUAAUUUGAAGAUGGCAACCUUGGGUUUGGCUCUUGUCUAUGUUCCUUGGAACAGGACGUCAUAGAGGGUGAGAAUCCCGUCUGAUGAGAUGCCCAUUCCUUUGUAAGGUGCUAUCGAAGAGUCGAGUUGUUUGGGAAUGCAGCUCUAAGUGGGUGGUAAAUUCCAUCUAAAGCUAAAUAUUGGCGAGAGACCGAUAGCGAACAAGUACAGUGAUGGAAAGAUGAAAAGAACUUUGAAAAGAGAGUGAAAAAGUACGUGAAAUUGUUGAAAGGGAAGGGCAUUAGAUCAGACUUGGUGUUUUACGAUUAUCUUCUCUUCUUGAGUUGUGCACUCGUAUUUCACUGGGCCAGCAUCGAUUCGGAUGGUAAGAUAAUAGCAGUUGAAUGUGGCUCCACUUCGGUGGAGUGUUAUAGCUUCUGUUGAUAUUGCCUGUCUGGAUCGAGGGCUGCGUCUUUUGACUAGGAUGCUGGCGUAAUGAUCUAAUGCCGCCCGUCU